This 385-nucleotide ribosomal RNA is filed under the name uncultured bacterium. RNAcentral describes it as "bacterial SSU rRNA". It matches the Rfam family "Bacterial small subunit ribosomal RNA", at positions 370 to 772 of the family's 1533-position model. The record is from RNAcentral.
AAUGGGGGAAACCCUGAUGCAGCAACGCCGCGUGAGUGAUGACGGCCUUCGGGUUGUAAAGCUCUGUCUUCAGGGACGAUAAUGACGGUACCUGAGGAGGAAGCCACGGCUAACUACGUGCCAGCAGCCGCGGUAAUACGUAGGUGGCGAGCGUUGUCCGGAUUUACUGGGCGUAAAGGGAGCGUAGGCGGAUUUUUAAGUGAGAUGUGAAAUACUCGGGCUUAACCUGAGUGCUGCAUUUCAAACUGGAAGUCUAGAGUGCAGGAGAGGAGAAGGGAAUUCCUAGUGUAGCGGUGAAAUGCGUAGAGAUUAGGAAGAACACCAGUGGCGAAGGCGCUUCUCUGGACUGUAACUGACGCUGAGGCUCGAAAGCGUGGGGAGCAAA